UUGAAAGGGAAACGAUUGAAGUCAGUCGUACCAGCGGGAAAUCAACCUUUCGAGUGGGGGUUUUGGAGUUUUUUGAAGAGUGUCAAAACCUUUGAGAUUUCAAAAUAUUCGCUCUUUUGGUGUACUUUCUCGUGGGUAGGUUAACAUCGAUUUUGAUCAUCAUAAAAAGAUUGGGAGGAAUGUAGCUUCGAUCUUGUAUUGAAGUGUUAUAGCCUUUGGCAAAUGUGAUGAUUAGGAUCGAGGAUUGCAACGAAUACCCUUUUGGGCUAUCCGCCUGAUCUCUGAUACGUGGCCUUGGUAUCGAAAGCGUGCUUAUGGUAUUGAGGUAUUACGGUCAAAAGGUUAGAACGGAUUACAUUCGUUAAGGAUGUUGACGUA
RNAcentral lists this ribosomal RNA (378 nucleotides) under uncultured Glomeromycotina. RNAcentral's name for it is "LSU rRNA". Lineage: Eukaryota; Fungi; Glomeromycota. The record is from RNAcentral.